UGGGGAAUAUUGGACAAUGGGCGCAAGCCUGAUCCAGCCAUGCCGCGUGUGUGAAGAAGGCCUUCGGGUUGUAAAGCACUUUUGUCCGGGACGAAAGCGACUGGGAUAAUACCCUGGUUGUAUGACGGUACUGGAAGAAUAAGCACCGGCUAACUUCGUGCCAGCAGCCGCGGUAAUACGAAGGGUGCAAGCGUUACUCGGAAUUACUGGGCGUAAAGCGUGCGUAGGCGGUUAUUUAAGUCUGAUGUGAAAUCCCCGGGCUCAACCUGGGAAUGGCAUUGGAAACUGGAUGGCUAGAGUGAGGUAGAGGGUGGUGGAAUUCCCGGUGUAGCGGUGAAAUGCGUAGAGAUCGGGAGGAACAUCUGUGGCGAAGGCGGCCACCUGGACCAUCACUGACGCU
This 400-nucleotide ribosomal RNA is filed under the name uncultured bacterium. RNAcentral's name for it is "bacterial SSU rRNA". It matches the Rfam family "Bacterial small subunit ribosomal RNA", at positions 355 to 747 of the family's 1533-position model. The record is from RNAcentral.